This 189-nucleotide unclassified non-coding RNA is filed under the name uncultured Helotiales. RNAcentral describes it as "sequence contains ITS1". Lineage: Eukaryota; Fungi; Ascomycota; Leotiomycetes; Helotiales. The record is from RNAcentral.
AAAAGUGGUGGUGUCAAUCACCCCCCUAGGCUACUGAUGCUUGGGCUUGCUCUUGCUAACUAGCCUAGGCCACUUCACCCUUGAUAAAAUACCAUUGUUGCUUUGGCAGGUCGUGGCCUCGGCCCGCAGCGCCUGCCAGAGGACCCAAACUCUUUUGUUAUGUGACGUCUGAGUACUAUAUAAUAGUUA